ACGCUCGACACCUACGGGAGGCAGCAGGUGGGGAAUAUUGCACAAUGGGGGAAACCCUGAUGCAGCGACGCCGCGUGAAGGAAGAAGUAUUUCGGUAUGUAAACUUCUAUCAGCAGGGAAGAAAAUGACGGUACCUGAGUAAGAAGCACCGGCUAAAUACGUGCCAACAGCCGCGGUAAGUCUGAGCGGGCCGUGGCAAGGC
This 202-nucleotide ribosomal RNA is filed under the name uncultured bacterium. Its description in RNAcentral is "partial 16S ribosomal RNA". It matches the Rfam family "Bacterial small subunit ribosomal RNA", at positions 328 to 535 of the family's 1533-position model. The record is from RNAcentral.